Molecule: ribosomal RNA, 253 nt
Filed under: uncultured bacterium
Lineage: Bacteria
Description: partial 16S ribosomal RNA
Rfam family: Bacterial small subunit ribosomal RNA
Source: RNAcentral
UACAGAGGGGGCAAGCGUUGUUCGGAAUUACUGGGCGUAAAGGGCGCGUAGGCGGCCUGUUAAGUCGAACGUGAAAUCCCCGGGCUCAACCCGGGAACUGCGUCCGAUACUGGCAGGCUUGAAGCCGGGAGAGGGAUGCGGAAUUCCAGGUGUAGCGGUGAAAUGCGUAGAUAUCUGGAGGAACACCGGUGGCGAAGGCGGCAUCCUGGACCGGCAUUGACGCUGAUGAGCGAAAGCUAGGGGAGCAAACGGG